Epinephelus lanceolatus (giant grouper) is the source of this 403-nucleotide non-coding RNA. The record is from RefSeq and is a predicted model, not a curated record. NCBI's taxonomy places the organism in Eukaryota, Metazoa, Chordata, Actinopteri, Perciformes, Serranidae.
UGUGUGUGUGUGUGUGUGUGUGUGUGUGUUCUGCAGGAGCCUUCAAGACCCUGGAUAAGGACCAUAGUGGCCACAUCGACCUGGACAUCAAGGAGUGGCUUCAGCUGACGAUGUACUCCUGAGGCGACGCAGAGAAGCUGCUGCACAACACAAACUUCUUCUCCCUCUUCUCCAUCUCACUCCCCACUCCUGUGUGACCCCAUUGUUUCCAUGGUAACGGGACCAAAAUGUCAAGGGAAAAAUCAAACCGGGACCAAAGUCAGCGCCAAUGCUGCUGCCACACCGUCCUGCUGCUGCCAGCUGGCGACACUACAACGUCCACGUGUUAGAGAGCUCUGUGUUUCAUGUUUUAGGGACAAAUGUGUUAUCAGAAACUGAAUAAAGUGGCACAACUGACAUUAAA